This 253-nucleotide ribosomal RNA is filed under the name uncultured bacterium. RNAcentral describes it as "partial 16S ribosomal RNA". It matches the Rfam family "Bacterial small subunit ribosomal RNA", at positions 524 to 776 of the family's 1533-position model. The record is from RNAcentral.
GACGAACCGUGCGAACGUUGUUCGGAUUCACUGGGCUUAAAGGGCGCGUAGGCGGCUUGCCAAGUCAGGGGUGAAAUCGUUCGGCUCAACCGGGCAAGUGCUUCUGAUACUGGCGGGCUGGAGGGAGGUAGGGGCAGACGGAACUUCCGGUGGAGCGGUGAAAUGCGUAGAGAUCCGGAAGAACACCAGUGGCGAAGGCGGUCUGCUGGGCAGUUGCUGACACUGAGGCGCGACAGCGUGGGGAGCAAACAGG